CCUACGGGAGGCAGCAGUGGGGAAUAUUGGGCAAUGGGCGCAAGCCUGACCCAGCAACGCCGCGUGAAGGAAGAAGGCUUUCGGGUUGUAAACUUCUUUUCUCAGGGACGAAGCAAGUGACGGUACCUGAGGAAUAAGCCACGGCUAACUACGUGCCAGCAGCCGCGGUAAUACGUAGGUGGCAAGCGUUAUCCGGAUUUACUGGGUGUAAAGGGCGCGUAGGCGGGAAAGCAAGUCAGAUGUGAAAACCAUGGGCUCAACCUGUGGACUGCAUUUGAUACUGUUUUUCUUGAGUACAGGAGAGGCAGACGGAAUUCCUAGUGUAGCGGUGAAAUGCGUAGAUAUUAGGAGGAACACCAGUGGCGAAGGCGGUCUGCUGGACAGCAACUGACGCUGAGGCGCGAAAGCGUGGGGAGCAAACAGGAUUAGAUACCCCAGUAGUC
Molecule: ribosomal RNA, 443 nt
Filed under: uncultured bacterium
Lineage: Bacteria
Description: partial 16S ribosomal RNA
Rfam family: Bacterial small subunit ribosomal RNA
Source: RNAcentral